GCUUCGGUGGCCUAGUGGUUAGAGCGUCCGCCUCAGAUGCGAGAAGUCGCGGGUUCAAACCCCGCCAAGUCA
Non-coding RNA from Potamilus streckersoni, 72 nucleotides. Lineage: Eukaryota; Metazoa; Mollusca; Bivalvia; Unionida; Unionidae. The record is from the annotation of a GenBank genome assembly.